GUGGAGGGUCAAGAAAGCGGUCUCUCUCUAAAGUUGUGGUUACCUGCUGAUACUACCCUCCCAGAUAAAUGAUUUGUAGAGGAACAGGCCAGAAGAGUUUUCAAGAGAAUACCGAGGCCUACUAACCCUACGAACAUUA
Molecule: non-coding RNA, 139 nt
Filed under: Hucho hucho (huchen)
Lineage: Eukaryota; Metazoa; Chordata; Actinopteri; Salmoniformes; Salmonidae
Source: RNAcentral